AUCUAUGGCCAUACCACCCUAAACACGCCCAAUCUCGUCUGAUCUUAGAAGCUAAGCAGGGUCGGGCCUGGUUAGUACUUGGAUGGGAGAAAGAGAGGCAGAGAGAGACU
This is a ribosomal RNA of Erinaceus europaeus (western European hedgehog), 110 nucleotides long. The record is from Ensembl. NCBI's taxonomy places the organism in Eukaryota, Metazoa, Chordata, Mammalia, Eulipotyphla, Erinaceidae.